This 465-nucleotide ribosomal RNA is filed under the name uncultured Klebsiella sp. RNAcentral's name for it is "bacterial SSU rRNA". It matches the Rfam family "Bacterial small subunit ribosomal RNA", at positions 338 to 795 of the family's 1533-position model. Lineage: Bacteria; Pseudomonadati; Pseudomonadota; Gammaproteobacteria; Enterobacterales; Enterobacteriaceae. The record is from RNAcentral.
CCUACGGGCGGCUGCAGUGGGGAAUAUUGCACAAUGGGCGCAAGCCUGAUGCAGCCAUGCCGCGUGUGUGAAGAAGGCCUUCGGGUUGUAAAGCACUUUCAGCGGGGAGGAAGGCGGUGAGGUUAAUAACCUCAUCGAUUGACGUUACCCGCAGAAGAAGCACCGGCUAACUCCGUGCCAGCAGCCGCGGUAAUACGGAGGGUGCAAGCGUUAAUCGGAAUUACUGGGCGUAAAGCGCACGCAGGCGGUCUGUCAAGUCGGAUGUGAAAUCCCCGGGCUCAACCUGGGAACUGCAUUCGAAACUGGCAGGCUAGAGUCUUGUAGAGGGGGGUAGAAUUCCAGGUGUAGCGGUGAAAUGCGUAGAGAUCUGGAGGAAUACCGGUGGCGAAGGCGGCCCCCUGGACAAAGACUGACGCUCAGGUGCGAAAGCGAGGGGAGCAAACAGGAUUAGAUACCCGGGUAGUC